Molecule: ribosomal RNA, 253 nt
Filed under: uncultured bacterium
Lineage: Bacteria
Description: partial 16S ribosomal RNA
Rfam family: Bacterial small subunit ribosomal RNA
Source: RNAcentral
UACAGAGGGUGCGAGCGUUAAUCGGAAUUACUGGGCGUAAAGGGCGCGUAGGUUGUUAUUUAAGUUAGAUGUGAAAUCCCAGGGCUCAACCUUGGCACUGCAUUUGAUACUGAAUGACUAGAGUACAGUAGAGGGAAGUGGAAUUUCCGGUGUAGCGGUGAAAUGCGUAGAUAUCGGAAGGAACAUCAGUGGCGAAGGCGACUUUCUGGACUGAUACUGACACUGAGGCGCGAAAGCGUGGGGAGCAAACAGG